This is a non-coding RNA of Schizosaccharomyces pombe (fission yeast), 1225 nucleotides long. The record is from the annotation of a GenBank genome assembly. NCBI's taxonomy places the organism in Eukaryota, Fungi, Ascomycota, Schizosaccharomycetes, Schizosaccharomycetales, Schizosaccharomycetaceae.
AUAUGAAUACGCUAGACUUGCAGAAUUCUUAUUCAAUCAAGUUGAUAAAAAUCAACACUAAGCCUUUUCUAAUAAACAACGACCGAUACCUAUCAUUUUGAUACCAACACUUGAAUUUUUAUAAGUAAAACUUAGAUUCUACUUCUUUAAUAAAAUCGCCAAAACACCGUUAACAGGUUCAAAAAAUGAAAAAUGAUUUACUAAAAGACGCAAUAGCAUUUAAAGUCGAUUUACUUUACAAAAGAAAUCGAUUUUUUUUCCAAGGGUUUGUUACAAUUUGAGAAGAAUUCCAAAAAGAAGAGAAACUGCAGAUUACUAAAAAAAACAGAUAAUGGUAAGAAAGAGCAAAAAGCCAAAAUCACCCCCUAGUAAGACCACUUCUUUCCAGUUAUCAUUUCAUAAGCUUCAACAUACUUUCUACGAGUAGCUUCAACGACAUCUUCGGGCAAAGAAACGUUGGGUUUAUUGGCAAGGUUAUUAGCGGUCAACCAGUUUCGAAGAUAUUGCUUAUCGAAACUAUCGGGAGAUUUUCCAACAGUAUAAUCAGAUGCAAGCCAGAAACGGGAUGAAUCGGGUGUCAAUACCUCAUCAACAAGCACAAUCUUAUUUGUGGUUUCAUCAACCCCAAAUUCAAAUUUCGUAUCGGCAAUGAUGAUUCCCUUCUUUAAUGCAACAUCACGGGCUAUUUUGUAAAGCUUUACAGAAGUCUCAGCAACUUGUUUGGCUAAUUCAGGUCCAACAAUUUUACUGACUUCAUCAGGAUGAAUGUUUUCAUCAUGGCCUUCGGCAGCUUUGGUGCUGGGGGUGAAAAGGGGUUCAGGGAAGGCCUCUGCCUCUUUCAUUCCUGUAGGUACGUUAAGGCCAUGAACAGUCCCUUGCUUUUGAUAUUCCUUCCAAGCACUUCCAGUGAUAUAGCCACGAACAAUAGCUUCGAUAGGAAGAAUCUUGUAUUUCUUAACGAGCAUGGAUCUAUCCUUUAACUCUUCAUGCUUCGUGAUAACAGGAGGUAAUUCUUCCCACCUAGAAGUAAUCAAAUGAGUUUGGACAUGAGGUUUUAAAACAUCAAACCAAAAUUCUGAAAUUUUUGUCAAAACCUUUCCCUUCUCAGGGAUGCCGUUCUCCAUGAUAAAAUCAUAGGCGCUUAUUCUGUCUGUUGCUACGAACAAAAGAUCAUCGGGAAAUUCUACACACUCAUACAGGUCUCUGACUUUGCCGGUAGCAAUUU